GCCUGGGUGGCUCAGUUGGUCAAGCAGCGGGUUUCAGUUCAGGUCACGAUCUCGCUGGUUGUGAGUUCGAGCCCCACCUCGGGCU
Molecule: transfer RNA, 85 nt
Filed under: Felis catus (domestic cat)
Lineage: Eukaryota; Metazoa; Chordata; Mammalia; Carnivora; Felidae
Rfam family: tRNA
About the family: Transfer RNA (tRNA) molecules are approximately 80 nucleotides in length. Their secondary structure includes four short double-helical elements and three loops (D, anti-codon, and T loops). Further hydrogen bonds mediate the characteristic L-shaped molecular structure. tRNAs have two regions of fundamental functional importance: the anti-codon, which is responsible for specific mRNA codon recognition, and the 3' end, to which the tRNAs corresponding amino acid is attached (by aminoacyl-tRNA synthetases). tRNAs cope with the degeneracy of the genetic code in two manners: having more than one tRNA (with a specific anti-codon) for a particular amino acid; and 'wobble' base-pairing, i.e. permitting non-standard base-pairing at the 3rd anti-codon position.
Source: Rfam by way of RNAcentral